This 1325-nucleotide ribosomal RNA is filed under the name metagenome. RNAcentral's name for it is "bacterial LSU rRNA". It matches the Rfam family "Bacterial large subunit ribosomal RNA", at positions 1561 to 2925 of the family's 2925-position model. The record is from RNAcentral.
AGUGGAUGGGGAGCAACCUAGUUGUGCGUGUGUAAAGGUAGUGCCAAGAAAAGCGAUGAUCAUGUUGAAAAUCAAUUCCCGGUACCCGAAACCGACACAGGUGGGCAAGUAGAGAAUACUAAGGGGCGCGAGGUAACUCUCUCCAAGGAACUCGGCAAAAUGACCCCGUAACUUAGGGAGAAGGGGUGCCACCGAGAGGUGGUCGCAGUGAAGAGGCCCAGGCGGCUGUUUAGCAAAAACAUAGGUCUCUGCAAACUCGAAAGAGGAGGUAUAGGGGCUGACGCCUGCCCAGUGCCGGAAGGUUAAAGAAGUUGGUCAGUCUUAGGAUGAAGCUAGCGACUGAAGCCCCGGUGAACGGCGGCCGUAACUAUAACGGUCCUAAGGUAGCGAAAUUCCUUGUCGGGUAAGUUCCGACCCGCACGAAAGGCGUAACGAUCUGGGCGCUGUCUCGGAGAGAGGCUCGGCGAAAUAGGAUUGUCUGUGAAGAUACGGACUACCUGCAUUUGGACAGAAAGACCCUAUGAAGCUUUACUAUAGCUUGAAAUUGUGUUCGGGCUUCCUGUGCGCAGGAUAGGUGGGAGGCGCAGAAGGUAUUCUUGUGGGGAUACUGGAGCCAACGGUGAGAUACCACUCUCAGGAGGCUAGAAUUCUAACUUAAUUAAGGACAGUUUCAGGUGGGUAGUUUGACUGGGGCGGUCGCCUCCAAAAAGGUAACGGAGGCGUACAAAGGUUCCCUCAGACUGGUUGGAAAUCAGUCGAAGAGUGCAAAGGCAGAAGGGAGCUUGACUGCGAGAAGUACAGUUCGAGCAGGGUGGAAACACGGUCUUAGUGAUCCGACGGUGCUGUGUGGAAGGGCCGUCGCUCAACGGAUAAAAGUUACUCUAGGAUAACAGGCUGAUCUCCCCCAAGAGUUCACAUCGACGGGGAGGUUUGGCACCUCGAUGUCGGCUCAUCGCAACCUGGGGCGGAAGUACGUCCCAAGGGUUGGGCUGUUCGCCCAUUAAAGCGGUACGUGAGCUGGGUUCAGAACGUCGUGAGACAGUUCGGUCCAUAUCCGAUGUAGGCGUGAGAAUAUUGAGAGGAGCCUUCCUUAGUACGAGAGGACCGGGAAGGACGCACCGCUGGUGUACCUGUUAUGAUGCCAAUUGUAAACGCAGGGUAGCCAAGUGCGGAGAGGAUAACCGCUGAAAGCAUCUAAGUGGGAAGCCCACCUCAAGAUGAGUAUUCUGGUGUAAGGUCACGGGAAGACGACCCGUAAAUAGGCACGAGGUGGAAGUGCAGAGAUGUAUGAAGCCGAAGUGUACUAAUAGACCGUCGGCUUGACC